AAAUUGAAGAGUUUGAUCAUGGCUCAGAUUGAACGCUGGCGGCAGGCCUAACACAUGCAAGUCGAACGGUAACAGGAAGCAGCUUGCUGCUUCGCUGACGAGUGGCGGACGGGUGAGUAAUGUCUGGGAAACUGCCUGAUGGAGGGGGAUAACUACUGGAAACGGUGGCUAAUACCGCAUAACGUCGCAAGACCAAAGAGGGGGACCUUCGGGCCUCUUGCCAUCAGAUGUGCCCAGAUGGGAUUAGCUUGUUGGUGAGGUAACGGCUCACCAAGGCGACGAUCCCUAGCUGGUCUGAGAGGAUGACCAGCCACACUGGAACUGAGACACGGUCCAGACUCCUACGGGAGGCAGCAGUGGGGAAUAUUGCACAAUGGGCGCAAGCCUGAUGCAGCCAUGCCGCGUGUAUGAAGAAGGCCUUCGGGUUGUAAAGUACUUUCAGCGGGGAGGAAGGUGUUGCGGUUAAUAACCGCAGCAAUUGACGUUACCCGCAGAAGAAGCACCGGCUAACUCCGUGCCAGCAGCCGCGGUAAUACGG
Molecule: ribosomal RNA, 538 nt
Filed under: Salmonella enterica
Lineage: Bacteria; Pseudomonadati; Pseudomonadota; Gammaproteobacteria; Enterobacterales; Enterobacteriaceae
Description: bacterial SSU rRNA
Rfam family: Bacterial small subunit ribosomal RNA
Source: RNAcentral